RNAcentral lists this ribosomal RNA (273 nucleotides) under uncultured bacterium. Its description in RNAcentral is "partial 16S ribosomal RNA". It matches the Rfam family "Bacterial small subunit ribosomal RNA", at positions 524 to 796 of the family's 1533-position model. The record is from RNAcentral.
UACAGAGGUCCCGAGCGUUGUUCGGAUUCACUGGGCGUAAAGGGUGCGCAGGUGGGUUGGCAAGUUUGAUGUGAAAGCCCCGGGCUUAACCCGGGAAUGGCAUUGAAUACUGUUGAUCUGGAGGAUCGGAGGGGGGACUGGAAUUCUUGGUGUAGCAGUGAAAUGCGUAGAUAUCAAGAGGAACACCAGUGGCGAAGGCGAGUCCCUGGACGAUACCUGACACUGAGGCACGAAAGCCAGGGGAGCAAACAGGAUUAGAUACCCCCGUAGUCC